Molecule: ribosomal RNA, 840 nt
Filed under: uncultured bacterium
Lineage: Bacteria
Description: bacterial SSU rRNA
Rfam family: Bacterial small subunit ribosomal RNA
Source: RNAcentral
GAGUGGCGGACGGGUGCGUAACGCGUAGGAAUCUGCCUAUUAGUGGGGGACAACUUAGGGAAACUUAAGCUAAUACCGCAUACGCCCUACGGGGGAAAGGAGGGGACCUUCGGGCCUUUCGCUAAUAGAUGAGCCUGCGUUGGAUUAGCUAGUUGGUGGGGUAAAGGCCUACCAAGGCGACGAUCCAUAGCUGGUCUGAGAGGACGAUCAGCCACACUGGGACUGAGACACGGCCCAGACUCCUACGGGAGGCAGCAGUGGGGAAUAUUGGACAAUGGGCGAAAGCCUGAUCCAGCAAUACCGCGUGUGUGAAGAAGGCCUUAGGGUUGUAAAGCACUUUCAAUUGGAAGGAAAAACUCAUGGCCAAUACCCAUGAGCUUGACAUUACCUUUAGAAGAAGCACCGGCUAACUCCGUGCCAGCAGCCGCGGUAAUACGGAGGGUGCGAGCGUUAAUCGGAAUUACUGGGCGUAAAGCGUGCGUAGGCGGCUCGUUAAGUCAGAUGUGAAAGCCCUGGGCUCAACCUGGGAACGGCAUUUGAAACUGGCGAGCUAGAGUUUGGGAGAGGAGAGUGGAAUUUCAGGUGUAGCGGUGAAAUGCGUAGAGAUCUGAAGGAACACCAGUGGCGAAGGCGACUCUCUGGCCUAAAACUGACGCUGAGGUACGAAAGCGUGGGUAGCAAACAGGAUUAGAUACCCUGGUAGUCCACGCCGUAAACGAUGUCAACUAGCCGUUGGCUCUCUUAGAGAGUUAGUGGCGCAGCUAACGCAUUAAGUUGACCGCCUGGGGAGUACGGCCGCAAGGUUAAAACUCAAAUGAAUUGACGGGGCCCGCACAAGCG